CCGUCCGAGGGGCGCUGCAGCAGGCUGAAAGACCGCCUGUCAGGCUCGGAUGGGGCGUUACCCAAACGCAUCAACGGCGCCCAUUCGCA
Molecule: non-coding RNA, 89 nt
Filed under: Aquipseudomonas alcaligenes
Lineage: Bacteria; Pseudomonadati; Pseudomonadota; Gammaproteobacteria; Pseudomonadales; Pseudomonadaceae
Description: Pseudomonas alcaligenes SAH sequence
Rfam family: SAH (S-adenosyl-L-homocysteine) riboswitch aptamer
Source: RNAcentral